This 468-nucleotide ribosomal RNA is filed under the name uncultured bacterium. RNAcentral's name for it is "partial 16S ribosomal RNA". It matches the Rfam family "Bacterial small subunit ribosomal RNA", at positions 28 to 507 of the family's 1533-position model. The record is from RNAcentral.
GACGAACGCUGGCGGCGCGCCUAACACAUGCAAGUCGAACGGAGCUGCGAGAAGCUUGCUUUUCUUAGCUUAGUGGCGAACGGGUGAGUAACGCGUGAGUAACCUGCCCUGGAGUGGGGGACAACAGUUGGAAACGACUGCUGAUACCGCAUAAGCCCACGAUCCGGCAUCGGAUUGAGGGAAAAGGAUUUAUUCGCUUCAGGAUGGACUCGCGUCCAAUUAGCUAGUUGGUGAGGUAACGGCCCACCAAGGCGACGAUUGGUAGCCGGACUGAGAGGUUGAACGGCCACAUUGGGACUGAGACACGGCCCAGACUCCUACGGGAGGCAGCAGUGGGGGAUAUUGCACAAUGGGGGAAACCCUGAUGCAGCGACGCCGCGUGGAGGAAGAAGGUUUUCGGAUUGUAAACUCCUGUCGUUAGGGACGAUAAUGACGGUACCUAACAAGAAAGCACCGGCUAACUACGUG